This 253-nucleotide ribosomal RNA is filed under the name uncultured bacterium. Its description in RNAcentral is "partial 16S ribosomal RNA". It matches the Rfam family "Bacterial small subunit ribosomal RNA", at positions 524 to 776 of the family's 1533-position model. The record is from RNAcentral.
UACGUAGGGUGCAAGCGUUGUCCGGAAUUAUUGGGCGUAAAGAGCGUGUAGGCGGCCAGACAAGUCCGUUGUGAAAACUAGAGGCUUAACCUCUAGACGUCGAUGGAAACUGUUUGGCUAGAGUCCGGAAGAGGAGAAUGGAAUUCCUGGUGUAGCGGUGAAAUGCGCAGAUAUCAGGAAGAACACCCGUGGCUAAGGCGGUUCUCUAGUACGGUACUGACGCUGAGACGCGAAAGCGUGGGGAGCGAACAGG